CCUACGGGUGGCUGCAGUGAGGAAUAUUGGUCAAUGGCCGAGAGUCUGAACCAGCCAAGUAGCGUGAAGGAUGACUGCCCUAAGGGUUGUAAACUUCUUUUAUAUGGGAAUAAAAUCAUGCACGUGUGGGUUUUUGUAUGUACCAUAUGAAUAAGGAUCGGCUAACUCCGUGCCAGCAGCCGCGGUAAUACGGAGGAUCCGAGCGUUAUCCGGAUUUAUUGGGUUUAAAGGGUGCGUAGGCGGAUUGUUAAGUCAGUUGUGAAAGGCUGCGGCUCAACCGUAAGAUUGCAGUUGAAACUGGCAGUCUUGAGUACAGUAGAGGUGAGCGGAAUUCGUGGUGUAGCGGUGAAAUGCUUAGAUAUCACGAAGAACUCCGAUUGCGAAGGCAGUUCACUGGACUGCAACUGACACUGAGGCUCGAAAGUGUGGGUAUCAAACAGGAUUAGAUACCCCAGUAGUC
This 460-nucleotide ribosomal RNA is filed under the name uncultured bacterium. RNAcentral's name for it is "partial 16S ribosomal RNA". It matches the Rfam family "Bacterial small subunit ribosomal RNA", at positions 338 to 795 of the family's 1533-position model. The record is from RNAcentral.